AUUGAACGCUGGCGGCAGGCCUAACACAUGCAAGUCGAACGGUAACAGGAAACAGCUUGCUGUUUCGCUGACGAGUGGCGGACGGGUGAGUAAUGUCUGGGAAACUGCCUGAUGGAGGGGGAUAACUACUGGAAACGGUAGCUAAUACCGCAUAACGUCGCAAGACCAAAGAGGGGGACCCUCGGGCCUCUUGCCAUCGGAUGUGCCCAGAUGGGAUUAGCUUGUUGGUGGGGUAACGGCUCACCAAGGCGACGGUCCCUAGCUGGUCUGAGAGGAUGACCAGCCACACUGGAACUGAGACACGGUCCAGACUCCUACGGGAGGCAGCAGUGGGGAAUAUUGCACAAUGGGCGCAAGCCUGAUGCAGCCAUGCCGCGUGUAUGAAGAAGGCCUUCGGGUUGUAAAGUACUUUCAGCGGGGAGGAAGGGAGUAAAGUUAAUACCUUUGCUCAUUGACGUUACCCGCAGAAGAAGCACCGGCUAACUCCGUG
Molecule: ribosomal RNA, 490 nt
Filed under: uncultured bacterium
Lineage: Bacteria
Description: partial 16S ribosomal RNA
Rfam family: Bacterial small subunit ribosomal RNA
Source: RNAcentral